This 142-nucleotide ribosomal RNA is filed under the name Sigmocheir maculifer. RNAcentral describes it as "partial small subunit ribosomal RNA". Lineage: Eukaryota; Metazoa; Arthropoda; Diplopoda; Polydesmida; Xystodesmidae. The record is from RNAcentral.
AGGGUGGAUUUAUGAGUAAUAAGAUUUUAUUAUUGUUUGGUGGAGUGUGGAAUAACAUAUGUACAUAUUGCCCGUCGCUCUCAUGUUUUUUAUUGAGAUAAGUCGUAACAUAGUUGGCUCACUGGAAAGUGAGUCUUUUUGU